This 358-nucleotide RNase P RNA is filed under the name Actinomycetota bacterium. RNAcentral's name for it is "Actinobacteria bacterium partial RNase P RNA component class A". It matches the Rfam family "Bacterial RNase P class A". From Rfam's summary of the family: Ribonuclease P (RNase P) is a ubiquitous endoribonuclease, found in archaea, bacteria and eukarya as well as chloroplasts and mitochondria. Its best characterised activity is the generation of mature 5'-ends of tRNAs by cleaving the 5'-leader elements of precursor-tRNAs. The record is from RNAcentral. Lineage: Bacteria; Bacillati; Actinomycetota.
UGAGGUGGCCGGGUGACCGCGGCGAUGCGUGCUGCAUCGUCGAGGAAAGUCGGGACUCCACAGAGCAGGGUGCUGGCGAGAGCCAGGUUGGGGCGACCUGACGGAUAAGUGCAACAGAGAGAGACCGCCGAUGGGCCGGGCAACCGGUCACAGGUAAGGGUGAAACGGUGCGGUAAGAGCGCACCAGCGGCGACGGUGACGUCGUCGGCUCGGUAAACCCCACCCGGAGCAAGGCCGAGCAGAGAACAUGGACGGCUCGUCCGUCCAUGACAUCGAGAGAUGUCAUGGACACCCUCGGGUAGGCCGCAAAGAUGGAUGGUCACCGGCCCGGCGUUCAGCGUCGAGCCACAGAAUCCCG